UUUUGCAGGCCAUCACUGGUCAGCUCCUCUUAAAUGCAUUAGCGGAACUCUAUGCAGUACCGGCUUCGGUUUGAUAAUCCUAUCUAUGCUGUCGCUGUGAACUGUGCUGUUUGGCUUACAAUUGUCUUCGGACUGUCACCUUGUGUGGCAUAAUCUUUAAGCUUGACCUCAAAUCAGGUAGGACUACCCGCUGAACUUAA
RNAcentral lists this unclassified non-coding RNA (200 nucleotides) under soil metagenome. RNAcentral's name for it is "partial contains internal transcribed spacer 2 and large subunit ribosomal RNA". The record is from RNAcentral.